RNAcentral lists this unclassified non-coding RNA (221 nucleotides) under Hevea brasiliensis (rubber tree). The record is from RNAcentral. Lineage: Eukaryota; Viridiplantae; Streptophyta; Magnoliopsida; Malpighiales; Euphorbiaceae.
AACUAAUUAAGUUACAUUUCAUGGAUUUUUUUGGGUUCUUUACGUGUUUUCAUCGUGGUGCUAUUGGAAACUUCUAUUUUGCUAAAUGUAAUUGCAACCCUAUGGCGCAUAUGCUAAGUGGAUUCAUCCCGUUGGUGGACUGGUCUACGGCUGUUUCUUCUAGUUUUGUUUGUUUCUUCUGUGUUCUUAAAAAAGAUAAUAAAUAAAUAAUUAAUUAAUUA